RNAcentral lists this microRNA precursor (107 nucleotides) under Chlorocebus sabaeus (green monkey). RNAcentral describes it as "miRNA (ENSCSAG00000021299.1)". The record is from RNAcentral. Lineage: Eukaryota; Metazoa; Chordata; Mammalia; Primates; Cercopithecidae.
CAAAUCUCAAGGUCUCCAUUCUCUUAGACUUCACGCGGGGCUCCCGAGGUAGGUGGCAUGCACGCCUGGCCCCUCAUGCUUCCUGUGUCAGAUCCUCAGUUCCAAGA